This 2261-nucleotide long non-coding RNA is filed under the name Limulus polyphemus (Atlantic horseshoe crab). RNAcentral's name for it is "uncharacterized LOC111083350". The record is from RNAcentral. Lineage: Eukaryota; Metazoa; Arthropoda; Merostomata; Xiphosura; Limulidae.
UUAUCACUGUACAGAGUUUCUUGGAUUAACUGUCAAACAUGAUUGUAGGAAUUCAUGAAGUUUGCUUUUGCUUCUGAAGAUGUUUUUUUCCUUGAUAUUUCUGGGCAGAACUUGUUUGAAACUAAAUCAUGAAAAGUAUAAGGAUAUUUCUUUGCUAAAAUAGUGUUGGAAGAAAGAAAAUGCGAAAUCUAAGUAAUUUGAAAAUUCAGUCUGCUGACAUGUUAAAAUGAAUCCUCUAACUAACCUAUAAAACAUAUAAAUAUUAGUAUUACAUUAAUAAAAAUUUUAAUGCCUCGUAUAUUCAUAGAUCUUAUACUAAAUACAAUUAAAAUGAUUAAAACUUCUAAGUUUAAAUAGGUUGUUAAUAAGACUGUCAUUGAAUUCAAAAUUUUGUGUUUAGAUCCUUGCCAUGAGACCAACAUUGCAUGUAGAUUCUUGACAUGAGACUGAUAUUGUGCUUAGAUCCUUGACAUGAGAUUGAUAUUGUGCUUAGAUCCUUGCCAUGAGACUGAUAUUGUGCUUAUAUCCUUGGCAUGAGACUGAUAUUGUGCUUAGAUCCUUGGCAUGAGACUGAUAUUGUACUUAGAUCCUUGACAUGAGACUGAUAUUGCAUGUUGAUUAUUGACAUGAGACCGAUAUUGUACUUAGAUCCUUGGCAUGAGACUGAUAUUGUACUUAGAUCCUUGACAUCAGACCAAUAUUGUACUUAGAUCCUUGGCAUGAGACUGAUAUUGUACUUAGAUCCUUGGCAUGAGACUAAUAUUGCAUUUAGCUUUUUGACAUGAGACCAACAUUGUGUUCAAAAUUUUUGAGGGACAGUUAUUAUAUUAGACAUCAUCACUAUUUCAUUUUGAUGAAACAAGUUUUUAAGAGAUAUUUUGAUCCUCAGCUAGUUUCCUGAGAUUUGUAGUUCAAAGAUUGUUAAAAGAAGAUCAGGAUGACCGACUUUAAACAAGCGAUAUAGUACAUUUAUAUUUCAGUUUGUGAUUAAUGACAAGAGAGAGUUUGAUAAGAAAAUGUGUUUUUUAUGUUUAAUGAACCUGUAGGUCAGGGAUGGAGCCCAGUGUUGCCACCUAGUUAUGUUGUCAACUCGCAAGUUCCAGCAGCUGGUCUGAAAACUACGGUAUUAAGCUUUACAACAACAAGUCCAACACAGGGUCUGCCUAUCCCUAUCCAUCACUCAACUAUUCAACCUCUCCCACCCCAGUUAUCUCCUCAACCUGUGUUUUCUACAGUGUCACCCAGCUUUCCAUCAAUGUCUUACCUGAACGGAAACCAUUCUCAAACUAGCUAUACGGUAACUGGAAUUUCCCUGGGGUCAAGUCCAAUACUGCCAUUAACACCCCAGCCACACAUGGGAACUUACCUCGAUCAGUUUAAUCAAGGAAAGCAUACUUGAAGAUAAUCUCUUGUGUCUUCAUGUUCUUGUGUAAUCGUGGGGUUAUUUUAAUAGUUUAAGUGGUGAACUCUUACGUUGACUUAUGGUGAUACAGCGUUUACUCUUCUGAUCUCAUAUAGAGGCAUUCAAAAGACCAAGACUGUUAUUAAACACCUUGAAUAUCGGGGCUUUUAAAGAGCUCGUUUACACGAAGAAUACGUUCUGUACAGACAGUUAUUGUAAUAUACAUCAAAUCAUUAUUACUGUUGGUUUUUAAUCUAAAUUUCAUAUUAUGAAACGUUUGUGAAAUAUUUUUCUUUUAGAAAUAAGUUAGUAGUUGUCCUGUCUCUUUUUUGUUUUAUGUGAAAUUUGUACAGAGAAAAUUAUAUUUUUUUGUGUGGCAGUUCUUGAUUAAAGAACUAUUUGUCUGAAUAUACACCACUGAAGAAAAUUUAAUGUAAUAAAGAGAGUGGUAGGAACUGAUUGGAAAAAACAAAGUUUUUAGGAGAAGAUCCAAAUAUUAAAAGUUAAAUAAAUGUGAUUUAUUCAUAGAACUCGAGAAGCACAAGUAUGCCACUACAAAUUUGUUAAAUACAUUUGUCGAUGAGUACUGUACCAUUUUACUCUUGUUGUUACUGUUAUCCUUGGAUAUUUUUAUUUCAUCUCUCACAUUGUGACAUUUUCAUAUAAGCAUUUAAAUUUUUAUUUGUGCAAUUUAUAAAAUUAUUGUAGAAUUUUUUUGUACCAUGUUAAUAACUUAUUUCUUAUAUUGUUGAAAAUUCCAGUGGUUCAUAUUUAGUGUUUUAAAUGUUUGUGUCAUGUAAUAGCUCUGAUGUCGACGUACUUGUGUCUAAUAAAUAUAGCUUCUCGUUUUUACAAUUAA